UAUAGUGCAGUGCUACAGGAUAUUUCUGCUGCAGCCAACUGCCUGCAUUUUGGCAGUUUGAAUCUCACCAGGCUCAAGGUUGACUCAGCCUUCCAUCCUUCCGAGGUGGGUAAAAUGAGGACCCAGAUUGUUGGGGGCAAUAUGCUUGACUCUUUUGCUGGGUAAG
Non-coding RNA from Notechis scutatus (mainland tiger snake), 166 nucleotides. Lineage: Eukaryota; Metazoa; Chordata; Lepidosauria; Squamata; Elapidae. The record is from RefSeq and is a predicted model, not a curated record.